UACGAGGACGACGCUGGCGGCGUGCCUAACACAUGCAAGUCGAGCGAGGAGAUUCCUUCGGGAUGAUCCUAGCGGCGGACGGGUGAGUAACACGUGGGCAACCUGCCUCAUAGAGAGGAAUAGCCUUCCGAAAGGGAGAUUAAUACCUCAUAACAUUGCAGUUUCGCAUGGAACAGCAAUUAAAGGAGUAAUCCGCUAUGAGAUGGGCCCGCGGCGCAUUAGCUAGUUGGUGAGGUAACGGCUCACCAAGGCGACGAUGCGUAGCCGACCUGAGAGGGUGAUCGGCCACAUUGGGACUGAGACACGGCCCAGACUCCUACGGGAGGCAGCAGUGGGGAAUAUUGCACAAUGGGGGAAACCCUGAUGCCAGCAACGCCGCGUGAGUGAUGACGGCCUUCGGGUUGUAAAGGCUCUGUCUUCAGGGACGAUAAUGACGGUACCUGAGGAGGAAGCCACGGCUAACUACGUGCCAGCCGCCGC
RNAcentral lists this ribosomal RNA (480 nucleotides) under uncultured bacterium. RNAcentral describes it as "bacterial SSU rRNA". It matches the Rfam family "Bacterial small subunit ribosomal RNA", at positions 33 to 518 of the family's 1533-position model. The record is from RNAcentral.